GACGUAGGGUGCGAGCGUUGUCCGGAUUUAUUGGGCGUAAAGAGCUCGUAGGCGGCUUGUCGCGUCGACCGUGAAAACUUGGGGCUCAACCCCAAGCCUGCGGUCGAUACGGGCAGGCUAGAGUUCGGUAGGGGAGACUGGAAUUCCUGGUGUAGCGGUGAAAUGCGCAGAUAUCAGGAGGAACACCGGUGGCGAAGGCGGGUCUCUGGGCAGUAACUGACGCUGAGGAGCGAAAGCGUGGGGAGCGAACAGG
Molecule: ribosomal RNA, 253 nt
Filed under: uncultured bacterium
Lineage: Bacteria
Description: partial 16S ribosomal RNA
Rfam family: Bacterial small subunit ribosomal RNA
Source: RNAcentral